This 410-nucleotide ribosomal RNA is filed under the name uncultured microorganism. RNAcentral describes it as "bacterial SSU rRNA". It matches the Rfam family "Bacterial small subunit ribosomal RNA", at positions 9 to 416 of the family's 1533-position model. The record is from RNAcentral.
GAGUUUGAUCGUGGCUCAGAUUGAACGCUGGCGGCAUGCCUUACACAUGCAAGUCGAACGGCAGCAUGAUCUAGCUUGCUAGAUUGAUGGCGAGUGGCGAACGGGUGAGUAAUACAUCGGAACGUGCCCUGUAGUGGGGAUAACUAGUCGAAAGAUUAGCUAAUACCGCAUACGACCUGAGGGUGAAAGUGGGGGACCGCAAGGCCUCAUGCUAUAGGAGCGGCCGAUGUCUGAUUAGCUAGUUGGUGGGGUAAAGGCCCACCAAGGCGACGAUCAGUAGCUGGUCUGAGAGGACGAUCAGCCACACUGGGACUGAGACACGGCCCAGACUCCUACGGGAGGCAGCAGUGGGGAAUUUUGGACAAUGGGCGAAAGCCUGAUCCAGCAAUGCCGCGUGUGCGAAGAAGGCC